CACGUAGGGGACGAGCGUUGUCCGGAUUCAUUGGGCGUAAAGCGCGCGUAGGCGGUUGCUUAAGUCGGAUGUGAAAGCCCUCGGCUUAACUGAGGAAGUGCAUCCGAAACUGAGCAGCUAGAGUACGAAAGAGGGUCGCGGAAUUCCCGGUGUAGAGGUGAAAUUCGUAGAUAUCGGGAGGAACACCGGUGGCGAAGGCGGCGACCUGGGUCGAGACUGACGCUGAGGCGCGAAAGCGUGGGGAGCAAACAGG
Molecule: ribosomal RNA, 253 nt
Filed under: uncultured bacterium
Lineage: Bacteria
Description: partial 16S ribosomal RNA
Rfam family: Bacterial small subunit ribosomal RNA
Source: RNAcentral